Molecule: ribosomal RNA, 1157 nt
Filed under: Escherichia coli
Lineage: Bacteria; Pseudomonadati; Pseudomonadota; Gammaproteobacteria; Enterobacterales; Enterobacteriaceae
Description: partial 23S ribosomal RNA
Rfam family: Bacterial large subunit ribosomal RNA
Source: RNAcentral
GGGUUGUGAGGUUAAGCGACUAAGCGUACACGGUGGAUGCCCUGGCAGUCAGAGGCGAUGAAGGACGUGCUAAUCUGCGAUAAGCGUCGGUAAGGUGAUAUGAACCGUUAUAACCGGCGAUUUCCGAAUGGGGAAACCCAGUGUGAUUCGUCACACUAUCAUUAACUGAAUCCAUAGGUUAAUGAGGCGAACCGGGGGAACUGAAACAUCUAAGUACCCCGAGGAAAAGAAAUCAACCGAGAUUCCCCCAGUAGCGGCGAGCGAACGGGGAGCAGCCCAGAGCCUGAAUCAGUGUGUGUGUUAGUGGAAGCGUCUGGAAAGGCGCGCGAUACAGGGUGACAGCCCCGUACACAAAAAUGCACAUGCUGUGAGCUCGAUGAGUAGGGCGGGACACGUGGUAUCCUGUCUGAAUAUGGGGGGACCAUCCUCCAAGGCUAAAUACUCCUGACUGACCGAUAGUGAACCAGUACCGUGAGGGAAAGGCGAAAAGAACCCCGGCGAGGGGAGUGAAAAAGAACCUGAAACCGUGUACGUACAAGCAGUGGGAGCCUCUUUAUGGGGUGACUGCGUACCUUUUGUAUAAUGGGUCAGCGACUUAUAUUCUGUAGCAAGGUUAACCGAAUAGGGGAGCCGAAGGGAAACCGAGUCUUAACUGGGCGUUAAGUUGCAGGGUAUAGACCCGAAACCCGGUGAUCUAGCCAUGGGCAGGUUGAAGGUUGGGUAACACUAACUGGAGGACCGAACCGACUAAUGUUGAAAAAUUAGCGGAUGACUUGUGGCUGGGGGUGAAAGGCCAAUCAAACCGGGAGAUAGCUGGUUCUCCCCGAAAGCUAUUUAGGUAGCGCCUCGUGAAUUCAUCUCCGGGGGUAGAGCACUGUUUCGGCAAGGGGGUCAUCCCGACUUACCAACCCGAUGCAAACUGCGAAUACCGGAGAAUGUUAUCACGGGAGACACACGGCGGGUGCUAACGUCCGUCGUGAAGAGGGAAACAACCCAGACCGCCAGCUAAGGUCCCAAAGUCAUGGUUAAGUGGGAAACGAUGUGGGAAGGCCCAGACAGCCAGGAUGUUGGCUUAGAAGCAGCCAUCAUUUAAAGAAAGCGUAAUAGCUCACUGGUCGAGUCGGCCUGCGCGGAAGAUGUAACGGGGCUAAACCAUG